Molecule: long non-coding RNA, 876 nt
Filed under: Gossypium barbadense (sea-island cotton)
Lineage: Eukaryota; Viridiplantae; Streptophyta; Magnoliopsida; Malvales; Malvaceae
Description: long non-coding RNA (GBAR_LNC006026)
Source: RNAcentral
AGGGUUUUAUGUAGAAAUUAGACCCUAUUAGUUUAAGUGCACGAUAAGUGCUUUCUAAUUAAUAAAAUUAUGUUAAAAAAUAUUAUUAUUAUUGUAAUAGGUAAAUUUUGACACGGGCCCAAGAUCCAAAAAAUAUAAUAAAUAAAAAUAGAAUCUAAUUUUUUUAAAUAGUCCAAAUUACAAAUCCAAUCUCUAACCCAAUUACAUCAGCCCAAUCCCCAAAAUUACUAAAACCAUAGGCCAAGAGGCCCAAAAUAUUUAAACACUUCAGGGAAAAUCUAACCCUAGCCCCUAACAGCUUUGCGCCGCUGCUCCCAUUGCGCUACCCUCCCAUGUAUGGCCUCCACGCACCACCGCACGCCACGUCGCAAUCACCGUACUUGCAAGAAGGACAAGAACGCAACAACACAGAAAAUAUGGAAAAAAAAUGAAACUUUGUAUUUAUUUUUCGGCUAUAAAAAGCCACAAGAAUCAAUGUAAAUUUUUUACAGACGAAUACACAGAGAUAGCAAUCAAAAUAAUAUAAAUUUUCUAAAGGUGGUUUAUUUUUCUGUUUUCCCUUUUCAUCUUUUUUUUAUUUUGUUUAUUUUUUAAAGAAACAAACGAAAAAAAAAUCUUACCUUUUCAGUUAUAUCGUUGUGAAAAGGGGGGCCGAGGUUACCAUCUCCGAUGAAAGAUGGCGUCUUUAGACUCGGGAAGCCAAAAAACCUCAAAAAAUGAGACUUUUUGUUUUUUGGCAACCACGGACGGCGGCUCCGUCGCCGGCAACAGACGGCUGCCAUGGUGGUCUGAUGCCGGAGUCUAGAUUUUGGCAGAAGGGAGUUUGAGAGAAAAAUAAGUGUUUCAGGUUUUUUUUUAAGAAAGAAAGCAGGAAAA